Long non-coding RNA from Oncorhynchus gorbuscha (pink salmon), 2878 nucleotides. RefSeq lists it as uncharacterized. Lineage: Eukaryota; Metazoa; Chordata; Actinopteri; Salmoniformes; Salmonidae. The record is from RefSeq and is a predicted model, not a curated record. The transcript is spliced from 5 exons.
GUCACAUGGGUCGUGACAAUGUUGAAUAAUAGAGCAAUGCUUUUUGUGUACUGAGACGUUAUGCUACGAAUGCUAUUCGCGAAUGGACAGAGUCUCAAGUUAACUCUCCCCACCGUCUUUCUCUUUAUCUAUAGCUUGUUCUGCCAUUGGUGAAGGGAAGCCAUGCUCCAUUUCUAGGAAUUUCAACACUGUACUCCACUGGAACAAGCUCGACAGCCCAGAUGAAGGGGUUCUUAACAGUGUCCAUUACAAAAAGACACGGAGAGCCAUACAAGCCGAAGAUUGAGUGCCAGAACGUCACCACUCUUUCUUGUGACCUCACUGCAGAGACACCAUACAUCUAUCAUAAUUCCUACUUUGCUGAGGUUUUCCGCCGACAGUCACUCACUAGGCCGUACAGCACUGUUUAAACCUCUGAGAGACACUGUCAUAAGACUCCCAACGAGGAGAUGUCCAAUAGUACCAGCUUUUCCUACCAUGACCCUCCAACCUUCUAUAUCCUCAAACAUCACUCAUCCUAGCUGGGCAGCACAGGUCCAUAAAGACACAACUGGAGAGUUUGUCCUCAAAACAACAACAAUCUACAAAACAACAACGUAAUGUACUGUGGCUAUGUGGUCUACACCCCGACUCGAGAAAUGUACCGAAAUGCCAGUGAGAGCCGUACAUUCUGUGUGGCAUUACCAGAAACUGACAACAAGCAACGUCCCACCUCCAAUAUGGCACCCUCCAGGAGCCAUCACCUACUCCAUUGCCAAGUCGUAUCAUUACCCUGUAGGGUUCUCCUAUGGUGACCUGGAGACUGGUAAACUCCAGAUGGGGCCAAAGUUCACCAGCAGCGGAUCUGGGUCCUAUUCCCCCCAGGACGAACCCUCCUCUAUUGUCCAGCCCAGGCACUGUGACACCUACAUGGGCCAGCAGGGUCCACCCCCAGAGCACUCCAACAACAGCACCCAGUCCUCCAACAACUAUAGCAUGGUCGUAGUGCAGGUGGCUAAUAAAAGUGUGGAGGAAGAAUGCCAUCGCCAUCCAAGACAACAUCAACUCUUCAUGGUCAUCUGAAUCCAGUGACCACAAACCCAGUUGGGUUCAAGGUGGCCCAGUUUUGUUUUCGCGUGGAGCACCACCUGAGCCGAACCGGUGUGUUGGAGACAGGAAAUCAACAGGGCACCCCAUGGUACUGCCCACAUUGCGGCGUAUUGAUGGCCUACUGCAGUUGUCCACUUUGCUGCUCCAGCCAGAGACAUGUCCAGCAUGGCACUGCCUACCGACGCUGAGGGGCAGCCCCUUUUGUGGGACCUAGACAGCACUGGGCAAGGGGCAUCACUAUUGUCUGAUCUGGUCACCACGGGGGAGACAGAGUGGUUGGACCCUGGUACAGGGAGAGAGGAGGAGAGAACAAUAUACACCCCAAUCUCUCCAAUGUGUUUCAAUAACUCCAAUGACUCACCAUCUCACUCCAUACCUCCCAUCAACCUUGCAGACUGCGAGACCUCAUCAAUGACAUUCUUGUCUGGUUACAAACAACACUGGGUAACCCUUGCCCCUCAAGGUCUAACAGCAGAUGAUAACUUUGGGAUUUCCUCAUAUGCUCCACAACAGGCUUGGAUUGAUCAGGAGGAAGAAGCGGAAGAAUGAGAGGAAGGAGAAAAUGAACGAAUCUGUGAAUUCUUUCUGGGAGGUUGGGUGGUACAAAUUCUUUAGUUCCACUAAAAUAAUCUUAAGGGCCUUUGUGCCUGUUCGCUCUGUUCGGGCCCCCAAUGUACGUCAGAGACAAGUUCCGUCUCAGCGAGUCUUCACAAAGUGCAGGGAGAAGUUGGAAGGAGCAGAGAGAGGGUUUUGGUGGCGGUGCAGAGUGGGGUUUUCACGGUCCCGUUCCUGCCUGCUAUGGAGCUUGUGAUUCAGAAACAAGAACAGGAUUCUACUCCAGUAUCCAGCACACAUGGCCCCCUCAAUGGAGUCCUACUGAAUCAAAGCUAUAAUUUCGGCCCUUUUUUAAACAUUAUAACUAAUGUAGGACGUAGGAUCAAGUGUUGUAAAAAUGUAGGAUCAAGGAUAUAAGAUCAAAUGCUGUAAAAUACAUUUGUGUACAUUAUAUUGUGACGCUCUAUUUCAUUUGCAUACUGUGCAACAGUUCCAGCAAUAGGCUAGUUCUACCAAUAUACACACAUCUUAAUGUACACGAACAUAUUCAUUUAAAUCGUGACUGUGAAGUUUCUGUUUCAUUUGAAGAAAUGAAAUGGACAUCCGUGAUUCACGCUGGGUGGCAUAAGGUGGUAAAAAGCCAACCAGUCCUCUUGUGUCACAAUGUCAUUGGCACAAAGCUUUUCAUUUCAUCAUACUUUGUCUCUUUAUUUAUUGUUUCUAGCUCUUCAUAUUAUCUGUGUUAAUGUUACACGUUAUAUGCACCACAAUGCUGAGGAAAAUAUGACUGACAUUUUCACGAGUUUUAUAGCAACAAUUGAAAUUCAUAUUAGCAUUGAAGGUGAUGCACUGUAUACAUUUCUAAAAAUAUUAUUGUCAGAAAUACAAAAAGGGGCAGCGUGAGUUCGGUGAGAAAUGUGUCUUUUGACUUUGUUGAGUGUUUGGUCUUCGAAGUAUGUGACCUCAAUAACGUCUAGUCAUUGUUUGCUGCCCUUUUGAGUUGAUGAAAUUACAGGACAGGAGACAAAAGGGUUGGUAAUUCUUUACCAGGGUGUGGUGGUUAUGGUGCUCUGGUGAGCUACCAACACCAAAUGGCAUGUGGUAUCUAAGUGAAACUACCUAUGCUAUUACUACACUUUGAUAUAUUAACAGGCUAAAACACUGUUAAAACUGGCAGGUAUUCCUAGUUGAUGCUGUGAUGUGUAUCACAUAUUCAACAUAUAUGUACAGUAUA